Molecule: non-coding RNA, 135 nt
Organism: Triticum aestivum (bread wheat)
Lineage: Eukaryota; Viridiplantae; Streptophyta; Magnoliopsida; Poales; Poaceae
Source: Rfam
AAUAUACUCCUUCCGUUCCGAAUUACUUGUCUUAGAUUUGUCUAGAUACGGAGGUAUCUAGCACUAAAAUGAGUCUAGAUACCUCUGUAUCUAGACAAUUUUAAGACAAUUAAUUUGGAACGAAGGGAGUAGUAG